AGSUWKCUUGUUAGAUAUAAAUAGCAAGUAACCCCUGCCCUWUGWNUNGAAUGAUAAAUGGMUGCAUUNUCCNGGGUGUANGAAGGUAGCAUAAUCACYCGGYUMAUAAUUAGGGUCUGGAAUGAAGGGGGCCACGGGGCCUAACUGUCUCAAAAGGGAGUCUUGAAUUUAACUUUAUGGGUGAAGAGGCCCAUMUAAACUCGAAAGACGAGAAGACCCCAAAGAGYUUGUGGUUAAAAAGCUGCAGCAAGAAGUGCGGCAUUACCAUUUUGUUGGGGCGACACAGGGUCAUAAAAAGCNCCCUUGAUGAACAAGAGUAUACAGGAUCCCCCCUAGAGGAAUAUAUGAAUAAAGUUACCUUGGGGAUAACAGSUUUUAUACCCCU
RNAcentral lists this ribosomal RNA (385 nucleotides) under Caecum debile. RNAcentral's name for it is "partial large subunit ribosomal RNA". Lineage: Eukaryota; Metazoa; Mollusca; Gastropoda; Littorinimorpha; Caecidae. The record is from RNAcentral.